RNAcentral lists this unclassified non-coding RNA (339 nucleotides) under soil metagenome. RNAcentral's name for it is "partial contains 5.8S ribosomal RNA, internal transcribed spacer 2, and large subunit ribosomal RNA". The stretch from base 1 to 120 matches the Rfam family "5.8S ribosomal RNA", at positions 35 to 154 of the family's 154-position model. The record is from RNAcentral.
GAUGAAGAACGUAGCGAAAUGCGAUAAGUAGUGUGAAUUGCAGAAUUCAGUGAAUCAUCGAAUCUUUGAACGCACAUUGCGCCUUCCGGUAUUCCGGAAGGCAUGCCUGUCCGAGCGUCAUCAAAAACCACUCAAGUAAUUUUGCUUGGUUAUGAAAGAAGAGUUUGCUUGCAAAUUCCCUUUCGAAAUUCAAUGGCGGAGGGUCUCAUGAUUCCGGCGUAGUAAUAACUUAUUCGCUUGGUCAUUGUGACAAUCCUGCCUCAAACCCCCAAUUCUAGUGUUUGACCUCGGAUCAGGUAGGGAUACCCGCUGAACUUAAGCAUAUCAAUAAGCGGAGGA